RNAcentral lists this ribosomal RNA (467 nucleotides) under uncultured bacterium. Its description in RNAcentral is "partial 16S ribosomal RNA". It matches the Rfam family "Bacterial small subunit ribosomal RNA", at positions 29 to 507 of the family's 1533-position model. The record is from RNAcentral.
ACGCACGCUGGCGGCGUGCUUAACACAUGCAAGUCGAACGGAAAGGCCCUGCUUUUGUGGGGUGCUCGAGUGGCGAACGGGUGCGUAACACGUGAGUAACCUGCCCUUGACUUUGGGAUAACUUCAGGAAACUGGGGCUAAUACCGGAUAGGAGCUCCUGCUGCAUGGUGGGGGUUGGAAAGUUUCGGCGGUUGGGGAUGGACUCGCGGCUUAUCAGCUUGUUGGUGGGGUAGUGGCUUACCAAGGCUUUGACGGGUAGCCGGCCUGAGAGGGUGACCGGCCACAUUGGGACUGAGAUACGGCCCAGACUCCUACGGGAGGCAGCAGUGGGGAAUAUUGCACAAUGGGCGGAAGCCUGAUGCAGCAACGCCGCGUGCGGGAUGACGGCCUUCGGGUUGUAAACCGCUUUCGCCUGUGACGAAGCGUGAGUGACGGUAAUGGGUAAAGAAGCACCGGCUAACUACGUG